Molecule: long non-coding RNA, 2475 nt
Organism: Taeniopygia guttata (zebra finch)
Lineage: Eukaryota; Metazoa; Chordata; Aves; Passeriformes; Estrildidae
Source: RefSeq, a predicted model, not a curated record
AAAAUUGGUAUACACAACACACAGUAUGUUAAAAGUCAUAAAUAACAUAACUGCUGAUCAUAAUUAAUAUUAGAAGACACAAACAGGCUUAAGAACUUGCAUUAAUCUGCUUUUCUAAGUGCUGGAAAUUGUUCUGUGCUUAAUUAAGGGGUAGGAUAAUCUUGUCUUUAUGGCUAUGCUGGAGCUGGGUAGGUGUUUAAGUCCCUAUUCUGCCACAUGCUUCCUUUAUGAUGUUACUCAGAGCACUUUUAUGUCUAUAUUUUUGUAUUUGAAAAUUGGACAUAACAGAUCUAUUCCUCACAAGAGCAAAUAUUGUGUCUUACGCUAAUUUUAUAGUGAAUAUUUAUGGAGUAAAGCAAUUUUAUUUCCACUGUAUGUGGACCUAGGGAGACAAUGAUUUUUGAAUAUUGGCAAAUAUUAAAAAAGAAAUAAAAUUGGAAAGAAGAAAUAAAAAAAUCAUAAAAGCUCAGCAAACAUUUGAAGGAGAAGCCUGUUCAGAAAACUGAUAAAAUAGAUCACAGCAAGGAAGGUAAGAAAAGGCCAAACUGUUUAACUUUUUUCAAAAGGAGAAUUAUCUUGUCUUGAUGUCUAAAAAUUUUCUGAUUGCUCUUUAAUUUGUGAAAAGUCUGAGUUACAGUGAGUGGAAGCCAAACCCAGACCAAUUCAGAGUGGAAACAGAGGGACUGUUUUAAAUAUUUUCUGACAGAUUAGAAUUUCUAUCAGCUGCAAUCUUUUAAUGAAGGCUAAACAAUGUUCUGAGAGAGAUUUUAUAGCUCAGCAGAACUGACAGACUUGAUGCAAAAAUUAUUGGUCUGCGUGGUGAGGAAGGUCAGUGUGGACUGCCCCAGCAGUUCUGUCUGGCCCUGCAGCCCAUAAAUCUCAGAAUUAAUGUUUGUGGCUGAGGCUGAUCCCAUAAUGAUGGGGGCAUGGACACAGAUCCUGUAUUUGAAAAGAAUGGACUGUGUUGGUUGCCUGCUCACAGAUUUGGUCACAUUUGUUAAUAAUUGCAAAGAAAAGGGAAAAUGGUUGUCAGCACUCAGGGUCCUGGAUGGAGAUGUUGCAGAAUAAUCCCUUCAGUGUCCAGGAGCUGAGCUGCUGCAGAAUUCAUCAGGAAUAUGGAAAAUUUGGCACAUCCUCAGUCCUGGAAGAAUCUCAGCUGGUUUCCCAGGGAAUUCCAGCUCUCAGGGAAUGACCCAUCCUGCAGGUGGUGCAGAGGCAGGAGCAGCUCCAGUAAUAUUUCCUGAAUUGAAUCACCCUCUGAGAUGUCUCAGAUGUGAAACAGCUCAGUUGAACUGAGGAUGUGGCUCUCAUCUUCUCUGGGAUUUUUUAAAUGCCCACCAUGGCUGGUGAGAGGUUUGGAAUUUACCAUUUGAUUUGUACAACACUGUUACCUGCAGAGCACAGCACUGAGCUCUUCAUUCCAGGUGUGAACUCAACACUAUAUCAAGUGCAUUUUUGGCUGGAUCACUGUAAGUAAUAAGAUUUUUUAGGGUCAGCAAAAGAAAAAAAACUGGCCCAGUGUCUUCAAAACUCCUUGAUACAAGUGUGAGAGUCACUCAGCUAAUGCAUGUGCACUCAGUGCAUGGUUAAAUGUCCAGCCACGCAGGGUUGAAAUUGGGAAUGUUGACUCUCUGCUUGUGUUUUGAUAACUUAAAGCCUUCAAGGGGUGAUGUCGAGACUGAAGUGUAUUUCUUACGUGUUCUAUAACAAAAGUUUUGUCAGCUUGCAGUACUGAGUCUUGCCUUAAGGUCAUUCAUCAAGAUGGACUAAAAACUGAGGAAUUAUUCUCUUGGGAACCUCUUUAAACAAUGGUGAAUUUGUAGGUGUGCAACAGAGCUUUGAUGGCAGAUCAGAGGUGUGGAAGUGAAGGCGUCCAAGGCCAGGUUGGAUGGGGCUUGGAGCACACUGGGCCAAGGGGAGGUGACCCUGCUGUGGCAGGGGAGGGAAUGGGAUGAGAUUUAAGGUCCCUGCCAACCCACAUGAGGGUUUCUGAUUCAAUCAUCCAACAAAAACUUCUGGGCAUUUAUUUAUUUAUUUCUGGCAUUUGGUUAGGGGCUGCCUGACAUCUCCCCUGCCAAACUGUUGCUCUUAUUUUAGAAUGGUUUUGCCACCAUUUUAAAGAGCAAGUAGGCCAAGGGGAUAAGAUCCAUUUGCAGAGUUUUAAGAGAUUAAACAAUGUAUGGACCUGCAUGUUCUGCAAACUGACCCCCAGGGAACUGGAGAUUUACUUAACCCCUUGCCUGAUGUGAAGCUUUCCAAACACAGCAGGAUAUUGUAGGAAAGACACUUAUAUUUCAUCAUUAUAAAGUCUGUCCAGGAGAUUACAAACUCUAAAACAAAGCCUCUUCAUUAUAAAAAAAAAAUUCUCUGUGGGAAAUUAAUAGAGAAUAAAGAACACUUCUUGAGGAAGAAAAAUAAAGGCAAAUUUGAAUUUGUCUCUCAUCCUAAUUAACAGUAGGUAGUGAUACAAUCUAG